Molecule: ribosomal RNA, 465 nt
Filed under: uncultured bacterium
Lineage: Bacteria
Description: partial 16S ribosomal RNA
Rfam family: Bacterial small subunit ribosomal RNA
Source: RNAcentral
CCUACGUGUGGCAGCAGUGGGGAAUAUUGCGCAAUGGGCGAAAGCCUGACGCAGCGACGCCGCGUGAGGGAUGAAGGUCUUCGGAUCGUAAACCUCUGUCAGCAGGGAAGAACGGUCACUGUGCUAAUCAGCAGUGAAUUGACGGUACCUGCAAAGGAAGCACCGGCUAACUCCGUGCCAGCAGCCGCGGUAAUACGGAGGGUGCGAGCGUUAAUCGGAAUUACUGGUCGUAAAGCGCGCGUAGGCGGUAUGUCAAGUCAAGGGUGAAAUCCCCGGGCUCAACGUGGGAACUGCAUUUGAAACUGGCAAACUGGAGUGUGUGAGAGGAGAGUGGAAUUCCAGGUGUAGGAGUGAAAUCCGUAGAUAUCUGGAGGAACAUCAGUGGCGAAGGCGACUAUCUGGCACAUAACUGACGCUGAGGAGCGAAAGCGUGGGUAGCAAACAGGAUUAGAUACCCUAGUAGUC